Molecule: ribosomal RNA, 396 nt
Filed under: uncultured bacterium
Lineage: Bacteria
Description: bacterial SSU rRNA
Rfam family: Bacterial small subunit ribosomal RNA
Source: RNAcentral
GACGAACGCUGGCGGCGUGCUUAACACAUGCAAGUCGAACGGCAGCGCGGGGCAACCUGGCGGCGAGUGGCGAACGGGUGAGUAAUAUAUCGGAACGUGCCCUGGAGUGGGGGAUAACGCAGCGAAAGUUGCGCUAAUACCGCAUACGAUCUAAGGAUGAAAGCGGGGGAUUCGCAAGAACCUCGUGCUCCUGGAGCGGCCGAUAUCUGAUUAGCUAGUGGUGGGGUAAGGCCUACCAAGGCAUCGAUCAGUAGCUGGUCUGAGAGGACGACCAGCCACACUGGAACUGAGACACGGUCCAGACUCCUACGGGAGGCAGCAGUGGGAAUUUUGGACAAUGGGCGAAAGCCUGAUCCAGCAAUGCCGCGUGAGUGAAGAAGGCCUUCGGUUGUAAGU